Molecule: long non-coding RNA, 457 nt
Organism: Seriola dumerili (greater amberjack)
Lineage: Eukaryota; Metazoa; Chordata; Actinopteri; Carangiformes; Carangidae
Exons: 3
Source: RefSeq, a predicted model, not a curated record
GCCCCCUUUGUCUGUUGCACUCACCACCCUGACAUCUGGGCUGUGACUGACAACACACAACUGGAAACCCUGUGUUACAGAGGAAGCAUCAGUCUGGAUUUCUCGACAGCCCCAACAACACUUCUGGGUACUUCACUGUCUGAAUCGAGACGUGUGUGUGUGUGUGAGAUACAGAAAAAGAAAAUGACUCAACACCUGGCUGGUCCAAAACACAGCGGAACAGAACCUGGAGCGAGACCACAGCUGCAUAUAUGACCAAUAUUUAUAGUUAUGGAUGUCUGAGCCUCGUGGUUGGCUGGCAGCAUAGAGGAACCCUGCUGGGCCAUAGAAACUAAUGAGAAAUAAAUUAUGAGGACCAUGACUCCAUCCGUACAUGUUAGUGAUGAAUCUAAUUCAAACUGCUUUUCCAUAUUUCAAAAAUAAAAGGCCUAUUAAUGUUCAAAAAGUGGCAGUGGUA